RNAcentral lists this transfer RNA (75 nucleotides) under Cordylochernes scorpioides. RNAcentral's name for it is "tRNA-Glu". Lineage: Eukaryota; Metazoa; Arthropoda; Arachnida; Pseudoscorpiones; Chernetidae. The record is from RNAcentral.
GCGGGUCGGUGGAAGGCUGGUUAAACCGUUUGGUUUUCGACCAUAAUGACCCGGGUUCGAUUCCCGCAUUGGACA